AUGAAAGGGCGAACUAUCUCAGAAAAUUUCGUCUACGCCACUAAGUUGAUCCAAUGCUGCCACAAGAGGAACGCCCCUGCGGUGGUGCUGAAGCUUGAUUUUUUCAAAGCCUUCGACUCGAUCAAUUGGGAGAGCCUCCGUUCCAUCAUGGAAACGCAUGGGUUCCCGACGGCCUGGUGUGAUUGGAUUGAUGAGAUCCUUCAUUCAUCCCACUCUACGGUCUUGCUGAAUGGCAUGCCUGGGAAUUGGUUCAAAUUGAAGUGCGGUCUCCGUCGGGGAGACCCGAUCUCGCCUUACCUCUUUCUGAUCGUUGCUGAUGUCCUACAGCAGUUGAUCCGCCAAGAUACAGUUUUGAAAUACUCCCUGGUGCCCGAUUCUCCGGAUGUGCUGCUUCAGUACGCUGAUGAUACCCUGAUCAUCAUGCGGGCAUGUGAGGAAGGAGUUGCCAGACUUUGUCAGAUCCUGGAUAUGUUUGCUGAAGCUACUGGGUUGAAGAUAAAUUUUACCAAGAGCACGCUCGUCCCUGUCCAUGUCGAUCCGAAGACCCAGGAGGUAGUCGUGCGAGCUUUGGGCUAUGUUGUGGGGGCUUUUCCGUAA
This 597-nucleotide ribosomal RNA is filed under the name Triticum aestivum (bread wheat). RNAcentral describes it as "partial small subunit ribosomal RNA". Lineage: Eukaryota; Viridiplantae; Streptophyta; Magnoliopsida; Poales; Poaceae. The record is from RNAcentral.